Molecule: ribosomal RNA, 506 nt
Filed under: uncultured Glomeromycotina
Lineage: Eukaryota; Fungi; Glomeromycota
Description: partial small subunit ribosomal RNA
Rfam family: Eukaryotic small subunit ribosomal RNA
Source: RNAcentral
CCAAUAGCGUAUAUUAAAGUUGUUGCAGUUAAAAAGCUCGUAGUUGAAUUUCGGGAUUGACACAUCGGUCGUGCCUUAAGGGGUAUGAACUGGUGUAGUCAAUUUCUCACCUUCUGGAGAACCGCGAUGCCCUUAAUUGGGUGUCACGGGGAACCAGGACCUUUACUUUGAAAAAAUUAGAGUGUUUAAAGCAGGCAUUUUGCUUGAAUACAUUAGCAUGGAAUAAUAAAAUAGGACAGCAUGAUUCUAUUUUGUUGGUUUCUAGGAUCACCGUAAUGAUUAAUAGGGAUAGUUGGGGGCAUUAGUAUUCAAUUGUCAGAGGUGAAAUUCUUGGAUUUAUUGAAGACUAACUACUGCGAAAGCAUUUGCCAAGGAUGUUUUCAUUAAUCAAGAACGAAAGUUAGGGGAUCGAAGACGAUCAGAUACCGUCGUAGUCUUAACCAUAAACUAUGCCGACUAGGAAUCAGACGAUAUUAAUUUUUUAAUGACUCGUUUGGCACCUUACG